RNAcentral lists this long non-coding RNA (242 nucleotides) under Elaeis guineensis (African oil palm). Its description in RNAcentral is "long non-coding RNA (EGUI_LNC034392)". The record is from RNAcentral. Lineage: Eukaryota; Viridiplantae; Streptophyta; Magnoliopsida; Arecales; Arecaceae.
AAGGCCUCAAAGACAUUCCAGGUGGAGAUUAUAGAAGGCUCCACAUCGACCUUCAUCAUAGGCUUCAAUCUCUGCAAAGUGUAGAUGGCUCGACUCUUUCUGAAGUUGAUGUGGGUCACCUAAAUCCCAAGUAGAGUGAAGAUGAAGCAAAUGAGGAUGGUGUGAAUGUUGGUGCCACUUCUCCGGUGACACCUAAGGUGGAUGAGGCUAAGGAAGAUGGUGUUAAUGUAUGCCCUAGAUGC